UUCUUUUUUUUUUUUUUAACAUUUUACAGAAUUUAAUUAAGCACAUAAAACUGUACUAUUUAAUAUAUUUCUCCAUGAACUUUUUGUGAAAUUCAGAUCGCAGUGUAUCAUUUACAAAUCUUUUGUCUUUCUUCUGAUCAUCUACACCUUUUGCACAAUUCUUGAAGACAACAUCAUCAUUCCACCUUUUGACUGUGAAGCUGGCCUGCGGCUGGGAUGGGCCAGUGAGAUUAAGGAGAGGAUUUCCACUAAAAAUGUUUUCUAUACGAAUCCUUUCUUCUUCACCUUUUUGUUCCUGUUCCUUCCUGGCCUGCUCUUCAGCUCUUUCCUUUUUAAUUUUUUCCAGUUCUUCAAGAAGAGCUGCAGUAUCAUUGUCAUCACUCUCCUCCUCAAAAUCUUCAUCUUCCUCAUCUGUUAGAGGAUCAUCUGCAUCAAGGUUGGCAGCAGGAAUCUGGUCUAACUGAGACUUCUUUGACACUGAGGAGGAGGUUGUGUGUUCUCAGGCAGUGGAACCACUGAGCUAAAUCCCUGGCCCUGAAAUAGCACUAAUGUUUACCUCCUCAGUAAGGGCCACACUCCCAGCUGUCAUCUCCAGGGCCACAGAAGUCAAAGAUUCCCAAGACUUGCCCUUCUCCACUCACACAGCUCUCUACGAUCCGGGUCGUGGGACAGUCUCUAGAGAAUACGUUCAAG
This 693-nucleotide long non-coding RNA is filed under the name Heterocephalus glaber (naked mole-rat). Its description in RNAcentral is "lncRNA (ENSHGLG00100045646.1)". The record is from RNAcentral. Lineage: Eukaryota; Metazoa; Chordata; Mammalia; Rodentia; Bathyergidae.